CCGUCGUCGUCGUCGUCGUCCUCGUCUUCCUCUUCCCCACCACCAUCUCCCGCCUCCACUCGCCUCCUCUACGCGUCUCUAGAAUUCAAACCCUAGCCAACCAGGUCAUGGGCGGAGAGAGGCCGCCGCCGAUCAGCGGCGGCGGCGCCUUCGCGUUCAUCUCCAAGGGGUGGCGCGAGGUGCGGGACUCGGCGAGUGCCGACCUGAGGCAGAUGCGGGCGCGCGCCGACCGGGAGCUGGAGCACCUCCUCGCGUCGGCGUCGGCGCUCGCGGGCCCGCCGCUGCCGCCGGUCGCGGCGGGGGCGCCCAUCGCGGAGGUGGAGUUCGUGCGGAAGCGGAUCCAGCCCAAGAUCAUGGAGCUGCGGAGGCAGUACUCGUCGACGGUGCGCGACGCGGGGUGGGCCCCCAAGGCCGCCGGGGCCAGCCUCCGCGUCGACCUCUCGGGGAUUACGGCGAUCCGCAACGCCAUUGUGGCCGAGGGGGGCGGCGGCGGCGGCGGCGGCGGGAGGUGGGGGCUCGUGCGGUGGAAGGGCCACGCGGACGACGAGGGGAGGAAGGAGUGGGAGGUGGUGAGGAUGAUACGCAGCGGGCUGAAGGAGUUCGAGCGCCGGAGCUUGUCGAGUGAGGUGUUUGGUGGAUUUCGUGGCCGCGGCGAGUUCGUGGAGAAAUUCAAGUUGAGCUUGAAAUCUCUGAACAAAGAGUCACAAGAAUCCAAGGAGGUUCUCCCACUGGAUCUUACUGAAAUUCUGGCAUAUCUUGUGCGGCAAUCUGGACCAUUUCUGGACCAACUUGGUAUUAGAAGAGAUUUAUGUGACAAAAUUGUGGAGACAUUGUACAGUAAACACAAUGGCCGGCUCAUUUAUCAUUCUCUUUCAGCUGAUAGAUCUUUAAUUGGAAAUGAGAACAUGACUGAUGAGCUUGAUCUGAGAAUAGCAAGGGUGCUAGAAAGUACUGGGCAUCACACAGAGGAAAGUUUUUGGAAGGAUCAUGCAAAGUACAAGCUCUCGGACAACCGGCGGCAUGUUGCAAUUGUCACAACAGCAAGUCUUCCAUGGAUGACUGGGACAGCAAUCAAUCCAUUAUUCCGUGCUGCGUAUCUAGCAAGAAGUACAAAACAGAAGGUGACACUGGUGGUUCCUUGGCUCUGUAAGUCAGAUCAAGAGCUAGUUUACCCCAAUAAUAUCACCUUCAGUUCACCAGAAGAACAAGAAAAUUACAUAAGGAACUGGCUACAGGAAAGACUUGGCUUUGAAGCAAAUUUUAAGAUAUCAUUUUAUCCUGGCAAGUUUUCGAAGGAGCGACGUAGUAUUAUUCCUGCUGGAGAUACUUCACAAUUCAUUUCCUCGAGUGAAGCUGAUAUAGCAAUUUUGGAAGAACCAGAGCAUCUCAACUGGUAUCAUCAUGGAAAGCGUUGGACCGACAAGUUUAAACAUGUCAUUGGUGUAGUUCACACAAAUUACCUAGAGUAUAUCAAGAGAGAGAAGAAUGGAGCUCUUCAAGCUUUCCUUGUUAAGCAUAUCAACAACUGGGUGACUAGAGCAUACUGUCAUAAGGUUUUACGUCUUUCUGCAGCAACUCAAGAUCUACCUAGGUCUGUUGUCUGCAACGUUCAUGGUGUAAAUCCAAAGUUCCUCAAGGUUGGUGAAAAAAUAGCAGCUGAUAAGGAGCAUGGGCAGCAGAGCUUUACAAAGGGAGCAUAUUUCCUUGGGAAGAUGGUUUGGGCUAAAGGAUAUAGAGAACUUAUAGAUUUGUUAUCCAAACACAAAAGUGACUUGGAGGGCUUUAAUGUAGAUGUAUAUGGGAAUGGUGAGGACUCACAAGCAGUGCAGAUGGCUGCUAGGAAAUUGAAUUUGAGCCUCAAUUUUUUCAAAGGAAGGGACCAUGCAGAUUCUUCGCUUCAUGGGUAUAAGGUUUUCAUUAAUCCAAGUGUCAGUGAUGUUCUAUGCACAGCGACAGCUGAGGCUCUUGCAAUGGGGAAAUUUGUUAUCUGUGCAGAUCAUCCAUCAAACGAAUUUUUCAAGUCAUUCCCCAACUGCUUAACAUACAAAACUUCCGAAGAAUUUGUUGCCCGAGUGAAAGAGGCCAUGGCUAGUGAACCUUCACCUUUGACCCCUGAGCAAAGGUACAGUUUGUCAUGGGAGGCAGCAACUGAAAGAUUCAUGGAGUACUCAGAGCUUGACAAAGUUCUGAAUAACAAAAUUGGUUAUUCUGGACAAGAUGGGAAGAGAAGUAAAGUGAGAAAGAUACCUUUACUUCCUAGACUUUCAGAAGUUGUGGAUGGGGGACUGGCCUUUGCUCAUCACUGCUUAACUGGCAAUGAGAUCCUCAGAUUGGCGACAGGAGCAAUUCCCGGUACACGUGACUAUGAUAAACAGCAAUGCAUGGAUUUGAAUUUAUUGCCUCCCCAAGUUCAACACCCUGUAUAUGGCUGGUGAUGUCAAGACGCUUUUAUUAAACUAAUAUAUAUAUAGUUGAAGGAUGUUCUCAUUAGGCCGUACUAGUUUGUCCCAUUUGGUGUUGAUGCUCUCGACGUAGUCAGUUUGUCAACUCAUGAUGUUGAUAGCCACUUCUUUCUGAGAUUUUUCAGGGACUUUGAAGCAGGCAAGUCGUGCCAGGUUAUCGACAGAUUCUGCAAUUUUCUUUACUUGUGUAACCAAGUCUGAAAGAAGUGAUGCAGUAACUGCCACAUGCAUCACUUGCAGCAGAGCUUUAUCCUCUGAUAGCUCGCUCCUGAGUGUUUUGGCAGCUUUGAUGGCUGCAGACAUGGAGGUUGUAGAUGGUACGGUCAUUGUUCGAAGUGCUGCCGAGAGCUCUCUGAGUGCCUGAGCAGAGUGUGAGCUCAUCUCACUGCAUGCUGUUCGUACUUUGAAGGACAGCUCAGGAUUGGCUUCAGGAUACUGUCAUCAGGGAAAGGUUGUAAGUACCUGAGAUUUUGUGAGUGUGAUGACAUAGGAAGCCAUAGCCUCCAUGGAAGAAGCGCACUGGCGAGAAAGAGCUCCAAUCUUCUGGUAUUGGCUCCAUGGGUGUUUGAAACUGAAUUUUCCAUGACCAGGCUCCCAUCUGGCAAAGUUGCACUGCAGUUUUGGGAAUAAUGUCACAUUGCAUCAUUUUCACCACCUUGCUUGAAGAUGUCUGUAGGACUUCGCCUCUCGGCACGGGGUAUGUAUAUAUAUAACUGCAUAGUAUGCUUACCAGAGAGUCUUCAGUGGCCUUCGAAUUAAGUAUGCUCUUGUACGCUUGGAGAAAGGCUUUGCCCUCCAAACUCUCACUCGUAGCGCUUUCUCCAAAGCAUUCGGUUUCCAUUCCUGCAUUCAUGUAUAAAAGUUUAGGCCCCACUCUGGAAUUAAUCUGCCUGUAGCAUAUUACUUCUAUAGCUCUAUGUGAGUAACAAGUUUACUAUUAGUAAUUUAAUACAUGAUAUAGUUGUAAUUCUGCCUUCA
This is an RNA transcript of Oryza sativa Japonica Group (Japanese rice), 3440 nucleotides long. It is a transcript of the gene named digalactosyldiacylglycerol synthase 1, chloroplastic, with no coding region annotated. The record is from RefSeq and is a predicted model, not a curated record. NCBI's taxonomy places the organism in Eukaryota, Viridiplantae, Streptophyta, Magnoliopsida, Poales, Poaceae.